RNAcentral lists this unclassified non-coding RNA (494 nucleotides) under Hevea brasiliensis (rubber tree). The record is from RNAcentral. Lineage: Eukaryota; Viridiplantae; Streptophyta; Magnoliopsida; Malpighiales; Euphorbiaceae.
GUCAUGUUGAUGGCAUGGUCAGGGAACAACAUUCAAAAUCCCUGAAUUUCAUGUAGACAAUACCAGUAAUGUAAAAGGAACAAAAGGAAAAGGAUGUCUGUUUUAAUGUACAAACUUGAAUAAACAAUGCCCGACUCUGACACAGAUAAGGGUUAAAUAAGCUCUCAAAAAAAUUGUAUCCCAGUUGAAUUGAACUAUUUACUGGCUUUACAGUAUCAGAUCACGUUUGUUGCAAGAAAAUAAAAAAGAAUAGAACCCAACAUCACAUCAACUCUUGAGCUGAUGUCCUUAUUUAUGUCUGCACAAAACUCUAGGCAAUUCUGUCAUGUAUAAUUUUACCUUUUGCAAAUUUUGCUUGUGAAGAAACUUGGAACACCUAUUGCAAUCAAAUCAAAAUGUUAUAGUGGGAGAUUAAGUUUCCAGUGUCUGAUCCUCUUUUGGUACCACAGUUUCUUGCAGGUUAAUCUGGCCUAAUAAGGAAAUUAAAGAUGGAG